Small nucleolar RNA from Bison bison bison, 74 nucleotides. The record is from Ensembl. NCBI's taxonomy places the organism in Eukaryota, Metazoa, Chordata, Mammalia, Artiodactyla, Bovidae.
UGGAUCAAUGAUGGUUUUUCAGUGCGUGUAUGAGUCGUAUACGAUGAAUAUGUGUCUGGAACUCUGAGGUCCAA